GACGAACGCUGGCGGCGUGCUUAACACAUGCAAGUCGAACGGAAAGGCCCUGCUUUUGUGGGGUGCUCGAGUGGCGAACGGGUGAGUAACACGUGAGUAACCUGCCCUUGACUUUGGGAUAACUUCAGGAAACUGGGGCUAAUACCGGAUAGGAGCUCCUGCUGCAUGGUGGGGGUUGGCAAGUUACGGCGGUUGGGGAUGGACUCGCGGCUUAUCCGCUUGAUGGUGGGGUAGUUGCUUACCAAGCCUUUGACGGGUAGCCGGCCUGAGAGGGUGACCGGCAACAUUGGGACUGAGAUACGGCCCAGAAUCCUACGGGAGGCAGCAGUGGGGAAUAUAGCACGAUGAGCGGAAGCCUGAUGCAGCAACGCCGCGUGCGGGAUGACGGCCUUCGGGUUGUAAACCGCUUUCGCCUGUGACGAAGCGUGAGUGACGGUAAUGGGUAAAGAAGCACCGGCUAACUACGUG
This 468-nucleotide ribosomal RNA is filed under the name uncultured bacterium. RNAcentral's name for it is "partial 16S ribosomal RNA". It matches the Rfam family "Bacterial small subunit ribosomal RNA", at positions 28 to 507 of the family's 1533-position model. The record is from RNAcentral.